Molecule: ribosomal RNA, 495 nt
Filed under: uncultured bacterium
Lineage: Bacteria
Description: partial 16S ribosomal RNA
Rfam family: Bacterial small subunit ribosomal RNA
Source: RNAcentral
GACGAACGCUGGCGGCGUGCCUAAUACAUGCAAGUAGAACGCUGAAGGAGGAGCUUGCUUCUCUGGAUGAGUUGCGAACGGGUGAGUAACGCGUAGGUAACCUGCCUGGUAGCGGGGGAUAACUAUUGGAAACGAUAGCUAAUACCGCAUAAUAGCAGUUGUUGCAUGAUAACUGUUUGAAAGGUGCAAUUGCACCACUACCAGAUGGACCUGCGUUGUAUUAGCUAGUUGGUGGGGUAACGGCUCACCAAGGCGACGAUACAUAGCCGACCUGAGAGGGUGAUCGGCCACACUGGGACUGAGACACGGCCCAGACUCCUACGGGAGGCAGCAGUAGGGAAUCUUCGGCAAUGGACGGAAGUCUGACCGAGCAACGCCGCGGGAGUGAAGAAGGUUUUCGGAUCGUAAAGCUCUGUUGUAAGAGAAGAACGAGUGUGAGAGUGGAAAGUUCACACUGUGACGGUAUCUUACCAGAAAGGGACGGCUAACUACGUG